UUGUUUUAUUUUGAAGUGUUCGGGGGAGGGGCUGAGCAGGCUUGCAAAGCUGAAGGAAGUUGUGGAGAUAAGAUGGUGAAAUUUAAAGACAGGAAUACAGGUUUGAAUCUCCCUUGCUUUGGGAGUUGGGAAGCAAAUGUAGAUUAACGAGGAUGAGUGAUAGAGUGCAGGACAGGAAAUGUGUGUCAGAGUUGCUGGUGUGAAUCAGCUUCUAGGUCAUGGAUGUCUGAAGGUCUCUGCAUACGCACUUAUGUGUGAGGGGAGAAUGCAUUUCCAGAUUGCAGAUAAAGAAACUACAGCUAUAGUAUUGCAGCCGGUCAAAAUGUAAGGCAAGAUUUUCUGGGUUUCCAUCAUUCGCAAUAUUUCGUUUUUCCAAAGCAAUUUUACAGUGAUCAAUCAUGUCAGUUUAGCUUGUGUGACUGGAGCCAUCUUCAAAAGCCAUUCAUCCAAACCCUUGAUGGUGAAUUCAGUGAUGUGUUAUCCCUUCAUUUCACUGUUUGAAGGUCAGCCUGCAAGAGAUGAAGAGCAGAGGCUUGUAGGAUCCUACAUAUAGCAUGGGGGGAGUCUUGUGGUGCAGUGGACAGCGUCGCUGCCUUUGAUUCCGAAGCUCUGGGUUCGAGCCUCACCCCAGGACUUGAUGACCAAGGAAGAUGCACUCGUAAGAUAGCCACAUAGGUUGAAUGUCCAUCUGCAAAUCCUUCCAACACAUGCCAAUGGCGUAUGCCAUGUGAUGAGAAGAAACCUGGAGUCUCUACCAUCACUAUCCAUAGCUCCAGACUACAAUGUGAAUGUAAAAGUACAUGUUGCCACAGCAACUUGGACUCCCUGAGUAAACUGUAACACACCAGCAGCACAAACAGCAUGACAUUGGCCCCACUGAUAAUAACUCAAACUGUGCACAAUAAAAUGGAUUGGUGACAAUUAGAGCACAUGUACGCUUCAUUGUAACUGUGCCUGCCUCACAGAGACUGCAGAUUUUCAGGGUGGAUGACAGGUUCUGGGAUGGAGGCUAACGGCUAACAAGUGAAGCUUUACUUGCAGUUCCUAUGUGACACAAAAAGAUUGGUUUGAAGAACAGCUUUGGUAAACAUGUUGGAAAAUUAGUACAAAGGGCUGGAUUUUCGUGGAAUCAGGGAGAUCUGGCAGACCUUUAAAAAUAGCAGUCAGGACCAUCCCAGGAUUCCCAGUACUCUCCAAUUUACAGCAGUGUGGGCUAAGGGUGCAGGUUGCUGUGGGUCACUAGGCUGCACCCUGCACUCCUGACCUGGAUGGCUGCAUUACCAGGAUAGGCGUAUCCUAGUUGCCCACAAUUUUCAUGGACUCGGGCCAGUUUUUCAAUGAGUUGUGGUUCACGGCCCCUCCGGGUAAUUUCAAAGGUAAUUUAAAAAGAUCAUACUCAUGCCCCCUUGCUAACCUAUGCCCCUCCAUCCACCCCCAUGGCCUCUCAAACCCUCCAUACCAACCUAUGCCCCUCUACCCACCCCCUCAUACACUCCAAGCAACUUAUGCUCAUACACUGACUCCUCCAAUGGCUCCUCAUGGACAAGAAUGUAUAAUGAGACUUGGCUGAGAGCCCAGACAUCCAUUAGUCUGUUGAAACAGCUGUGCUAAAGGUAAAACGUUACUGGAAUGGCAGCUCUUUCUCUGUGACCUGUUCUGUUAAUUUCACAAUGUUUAUUUACAUAAGAUAAAGAGGUGUCAAGUAUUGAUAGUUUCUAUUAUUGAUACUGUAAAGGUCUGUAUGACUGACACUUUUAUAAGGUUGUAGUAAAAGCACUUUUAAAAAAGAAAA
Molecule: long non-coding RNA, 1792 nt
Organism: Carcharodon carcharias (great white shark)
Lineage: Eukaryota; Metazoa; Chordata; Chondrichthyes; Lamniformes; Lamnidae
Exons: 3
Source: RefSeq, a predicted model, not a curated record